GGGUUGUGAGGUUAAGCGACCAAGCGUACACGGUGGAUGCCCUGGCAGUCAGAGGCGAUGAAGGACGUGCUAAUCUGCGAAAAGCGCCGGUAAGGUGAUAUGAACCGUUAUAACCGGCGAUGUCCGAAUGGGGAAACCCAGUGUGACUCGUCACACUAUCAUUAACUGAAUCCAUAGGUUAAUGAGGCGAACCGGGGGAACUGAAACAUCUAAGUACCCCGAGGAAAAGAAAUCAACCGAGAUUCCCCCAGUAGCGGCGAGCGAACGGGGAGCAGCCCAGAGCCUGAAUCAGCAUGUGUGUUAGUGGAAGCGUCUGGAAAGGCGCGCGAUACAGGGUGACAGCCCCGUACACAAAAGCGCAUGUGCUGUGAGCUCGAUGAGUAGGGCGGGACACGUGGUAUCCUGUCUGAAUAUGGGGGGACCAUCCUCCAAGGCUAAAUACUCCUGACUGACCGAUAGUGAACCAGUACCGUGAGGGAAAGGCGAAAAGAACCCCGGCGAGGGGAGUGAAACAGAACCUGAAACCGUGUACGUACAAGCAGUGGGAGCAUGAGUUUACUCAUGUGACUGCGUACCUUUUGUAUAAUGGGUCAGCGACUUAUAUUCUGUAGCAAGGUUAACCGUAUAGGGGAGCCGUAGGGAAACCGAGUCUUAACCGGGCGUUAAGUUGCAGGGUAUAGACCCGAAACCCGGUGAUCUAGCCAUGGGCAGGUUGAAGGUUGGGUAACACUAACUGGAGGACCGAACCGACUAAUGUUGAAAAAUUAGCGGAUGACCUGUGGCUGGGGGUGAAAGGCCAAUCAAACCGGGAGAUAGCUGGUUCUCCCCGAAAGCUAUUUAGGUAGCGCCUCGUGAACUCAUCUCCGGGGGUAGAGCACUGUUUCGGCCAGGGGGCCAUCCCGGCUUACCAACCCGAUGCAAACUGCGAAUACCGGAGAAUGUUAUCACGGGAGACACACGGCGGGUGCUAACGUCCGUCGUGAAGAGGGAAACAACCCAGACCGCCAGCUAAGGUCCCAAAGUCAUGGUUAAGUGGGAAACGAUGUGGGAAGGCCCAGACAGCCAGGAUGUUGGCUUAGAAGCAGCCAUCAUUUAAAGAAAGCGUAAUAGCUCACUGGUCGAGUCGGCCUGCGCGGAAGAUGUAACGGGGCUAAACCAUGCACCGAAGCUGCGGCAGCGACACUGUGUGUUGUUGGGUAGGGGAGCGUUCUGUAAGCCUGCGAAGGUGGCCUGUGAGGG
This 1239-nucleotide ribosomal RNA is filed under the name Salmonella enterica. RNAcentral's name for it is "partial 23S ribosomal RNA". It matches the Rfam family "Bacterial large subunit ribosomal RNA", at positions 1 to 1269 of the family's 2925-position model. The record is from RNAcentral. Lineage: Bacteria; Pseudomonadati; Pseudomonadota; Gammaproteobacteria; Enterobacterales; Enterobacteriaceae.